CUAUAUCAAGUAUGUUAAGUCACGUGGCUACACAUGACAAAAUCCAAAUGUAUGAUUUGGCAUAUUUAAUUUCAUUCCUCAGUUUGGUUUGAGAUGCUGGAGCGACUUCUAGUGGCAGGUGAAUUUUUUUUUCUUCCUCUGAAUCCAGCAGGAUACCGACUCUCUCUCUCUACAGGUCAGGUCAGUGGAGGAAUCUUGUUAUUUGAAGGAUUUUCUGUUUGAAUAUACAGUCACAUUUCCAGACACUCAGUCUACAUAUUCAAACAGUUACACACAUACUUUAUUGCACAUUACUGCUGAUCUUGAAUUGUUGACACUGUAGCAGUUGUGGUACAAAGAUGACUCAUUAACAAGUGCUCAUUGUUCCCAAAUACAUCGACGCGACCUUGAGGUUGACGUAAAUCAUUUUCCUAACGACAAUACACUGUAACUUCUUGUGAAACACAUAAAAUAACAGUUUUGAUCAGCGCAGAUAAAACUUUAACUUUUAGGUUCAGUGAGUCUGAUGUGCAAAGUGUACGAUCCAGUGAAAGGUGAAAUGUCAUCUCAACAAGUAAAACAAAUCUUGUAUUAUAUUACACAAAAACAUUUUGAUAAUUAAGAAAGUAUAUUUUAAUUUCAGAUUAUGUUUUGUUAUUCAUCAAUGAAAAAUGUUGCACGGUGCAUUAAUGAGGUAAAGAUAGAGAUCAUUUUAACUACAUAUAUAUAAUACUGCUGGGUAGCAACAUAUCUUAUAUCUAUAUUUAUUCUGUAUUAUUAAUCUGAACCAGUUAAAGUAACAAUAGGCCCUAAUAAUGUUACCAAAUCAAUAGUAGUGUAUAGAAUUGUAUGUAGAAUUAUAAAGUAGCAUAAAAUAGAAAUAAGGUCAGCACUUAAGUAACCAUACUUAGUGAAAUGGCCUCAGGGAAAGUUACUGCAUUCAUACUUUGAGUUCUUCAGCAGAGAAGUUCAAAGGCUGCGGACCAUAAAGGUCUGUCAUUGAGACGGAUGCAGCCGGAGGCGAGGCCGAGCAGGAGCUCCCAGUCACACAGGCAUCCUCAGAAACUGGGUGAACUGGCCGAGCACUCGUCUCUAAGGGAGAUGCUAAUAUUUUAAAUGCUUUACAUUCGUCCUGUCAUCACUUUGUUCUCUGCUCCUAUGAUAGAGUUAAUACAGUUAUUACUGCAGAAUCAGAGACAAAUGAUAAACAGACUGUAAGGUUAAC
This 1204-nucleotide long non-coding RNA is filed under the name Dicentrarchus labrax (European seabass). RNAcentral's name for it is "lncRNA (ENSDLAG00005032878.1)". Lineage: Eukaryota; Metazoa; Chordata; Actinopteri; Moronidae. The record is from RNAcentral.